UUAACGAUUGUUUAACUAAAAACUCAGACUGCAAACUUCAGACAGCGUUCAAAUGUUAGUCUCCGGCGGGCCGUGGCCACGCCGAAGCAACAGGGUACAGAUAGACACGGAUGGGAGGUUGGACCCAGAGGGCCCGCACUCGGUAAUGAUCCUUCCGCAGGUUCACCUACGGAAA
RNAcentral lists this unclassified non-coding RNA (175 nucleotides) under uncultured fungus. RNAcentral describes it as "sequence contains ITS1". Lineage: Eukaryota; Fungi. The record is from RNAcentral.